Molecule: unclassified non-coding RNA, 292 nt
Organism: Erinaceus europaeus (western European hedgehog)
Lineage: Eukaryota; Metazoa; Chordata; Mammalia; Eulipotyphla; Erinaceidae
Gene: 7SK
Rfam family: 7SK RNA
About the family: 7SK was discovered as an abundant small nuclear RNA in the mid-70s but a possible function has only recently been suggested. Two independent studies have found that 7SK RNA binds the CDK9/cyclin T complex (known as elongation factor P-TEFb).
Source: Ensembl
GGAUGUGAGGGCAAUCUGGCUGGGACAUGUCACUCCAUUGAUCGCUUGGGUUGAUUAGGCUGAUCUGGCUGGCUAGGUGGGUGUCCCCUUCCUCGCUUGCCCCUCAACAUGUGUCCUUCCCAAAGCUGCAAAGAGAAUGGCCCUCCCCGAAUCUUCGGUCGAAGGUAUACCAGUAGCUGCACUCCCCUGCUAGAACCUCCAAACAAGCUCUCAAGGUCCUGAACGUAAGAACUUUCAUGUUCAUGUGUUGUGACUUAGUCCAGAUUAGUUCAGGCCCAGGUAAAUUUUUUUU